GUGCUUGCUUCAGCAGCACAUAUACUAAAAUUGGAACUAUACAGAGAAGAUUAUCAUAGUCUCUGCACAAAGAUGACACAAAAAUUCACGAAGACUUCCAGAUUUUU
Loxodonta africana (African savanna elephant) is the source of this 107-nucleotide small nuclear RNA. The record is from Ensembl. NCBI's taxonomy places the organism in Eukaryota, Metazoa, Chordata, Mammalia, Proboscidea, Elephantidae.